Molecule: unclassified non-coding RNA, 266 nt
Filed under: uncultured fungus
Lineage: Eukaryota; Fungi
Description: partial contains small subunit ribosomal RNA, internal transcribed spacer 1, and 5.8S ribosomal RNA
Rfam family: Eukaryotic small subunit ribosomal RNA (bases 1-73)
Source: RNAcentral
ACAAACUUGGUCAUUUAGAGGAAGUAAAAGUCGUAACAAGGUUUCCGUAGGUGAACCUGCGGAAGGAUCAUUAACAAAUCUCCGUGCACAGCACUUGCUUCACCGUAGUGCUGUGCAUAACAUGAGCUCGAAUGCGCUUUGCCGGCUUGGCGACAGCGUCAUUCAGAGACAUUUGCCCGCUUGUCGUGUUUGACUGUUGUUGGUAAUAAUAAACAGAAACUUUUAACAAUGGAUCUCUUGGCUCUUGCAUCGAUGAAGAACGCAGC